RNAcentral lists this ribosomal RNA (1009 nucleotides) under uncultured bacterium. RNAcentral's name for it is "bacterial SSU rRNA". It matches the Rfam family "Bacterial small subunit ribosomal RNA", at positions 56 to 1062 of the family's 1533-position model. The record is from RNAcentral.
UGCAAGUCGAGGGGUAGAGUAGCAAUACUUGAGACCGGCGCACGGGUGCGUAACGCGUAUGCAAUCUACCUUUUACAGAGGGAUAGCCCAGAGAAAUUUGGAUUAAUACCUCAUAGUAUCUUCGAGUGGCAUCACUUGAUUAUUAAAGUUCCAACGGUAAAAGAUGAGCAUGCGUCCCAUUAGCUAGAUGGUAAGGUAACGGCUUACCAUGGCAACGAUGGGUAGGGGUCCUGAGAGGGAGAUCCCCCACACUGGUACUGAGACACGGACCAGACUCCUACGGGAGGCAGCAGUGGGGAAUAUUGGACAAUGGGGGCAACCCUGAUCCAGCCAUGCCGCGUGUGUGAAGAAGGCCUUCGGGUUGUAAAGCACUUUAAGCGAGGAGGAAGGUUUUUAGUUUAAUACACUAAAGAAUUGACGUUACUCGCAGAAUAAGCACCGGCUAACUCUGUGCCAGCAGCCGCGGUAAUACAGAGGGUGCAAGCGUUAAUCGGAAUUACUGGGCGUAAAGCGCGCGUAGGCGGUUUGUUAAGUCGGAUGUGAAAUCCCUGGGCUCAACCUAGGCACUGCAUCCGAUACUGGCUAACUAGAGUGUGGGAGAGGAAGGUAGAAUUCCAGGUGUAGCGGUGAAAUGCGUAGAGAUCUGGAGGAAUACCGAUGGCGAAGGCAGCCUUCUGGCCUAACACUGACGCUGAGGUGCGAAAGCAUGGGGAGCAAACAGGAUUAGAUACCCUGGUAGUCCAUGCUGUAAACGAUGUCAACUAGCCGUUGGGGACCUUGAGUCUUUAGUGGCGCAGCUAACGCGAUAAGUUGACCGCCUGGGGAGUACGGUCGCAAGACUAAAACUCAAAUGAAUUGACGGGGGCCCGCACAAGCGGUGGAGCAUGUGGUUUAAUUCGAUGCAACGCGAAGAACCUUACCUGGCCUUGACAUGUCUGGGAAUCCUGCAGAGAUGCGGGAGUGCCUUCGGGAAUCAGAACACAGGUGCUGCAUGGCUGUCGUCAGCUCG